RNAcentral lists this long non-coding RNA (3685 nucleotides) under Heterocephalus glaber (naked mole-rat). Its description in RNAcentral is "lncRNA (ENSHGLG00000049518.1)". The record is from RNAcentral. Lineage: Eukaryota; Metazoa; Chordata; Mammalia; Rodentia; Bathyergidae.
CCUGAGAGCUCCCCACGCACAGGCUGACGUGGGUUGGGCAGGUCCUUGGGCUUUGGGGUGCACAUGGAUCCCCUUGGCUUUCCUCAAAUGGACAGCAGGCACUGCACAGCUGGGUGUUGGCCUGCCCAGGUCCAAACUUGAAAAGACACUGUCCCCUAGCUGAGCCCACCUUGAGACCUGGUCCCAUGUGAUCCUGGAGGGCAGGACAGCAGGAGCAAGCACUUUUCCAGGCAGGGCUGAGGGGAUGCAGGGCCAGGGAGAAUUAGCACAGAGAUCCUUCCCACCAAAAACAAACUCCCAGCCAGGGGGCCAGGCUGCUGUGUUGGCUUGUGUAUUGGCUUUGCUGGAUUUUUAGCUUUUCCCACUGAAAUACAUAUCCCACCUUCCCUGCAUCCAUGAUCUGCCUGCUCUGUGGAGUGGGUGUCUCCAUGCUUGUGUUCACCUUGGACACAGCAUGGCACUUAUAAACCUUGCUGACUGCAGAGGGAAGGGAGGAGCUGGGAGCAGUCUCUGCAGACAGGAGUGGACCAAGGGCUGGCUGUGCUUGGGCUACUGUGUGAAAUGCCCUGAAACUUGGAUGGGAGAAACUCACACUGCAGUUGAGAAACACUGAGUGCGUCACUGCCAUAGGCAUGGGCCUUGUAAUAUCUGUUCUCAAAGUCCUGAUGGGAGGUUCAGCUGUUGCCCCAGCUAUGAUUGGUAAAGGGAUAAUUUCUGCUUCAGGAGCUGGAGCUAACACUGACCUCAAUAUGACCAUGAAAGACACAAGAGGUCUCCUCCAAAGGCCCAUAAACAGAGCUAAGGGUUCUACAAGCAGCUUUCACUGGAGCUACAGGGGUUCUACUUGUCCAGGUUCCUGUCCCACUGCUGGCCUCCUGGACCUCCAGCCUCAGCUCAGCCUGGGCAGUCCUGCUGCUCCUCUCCCAAAGAGAAGAUGGAGACUGAGACCAACAGCUAGGUCCCUCCUGGCCCUGUGCUGUGUGUGUGGCUCCCACUAACCACCUUGUGUGCUUCCCUGCCUUGAGCCCUGGAGAUACAAAUAUAUGUAGCUAAUCACCUCUUUUCAGUCACUCAUUCAUUUAACAAAUUAUACAUUUGAUACAUACAUAUGAAGCAUUUGUUCAUCAUGUUAGGUCUUCCACCAUGGCAGGACAUGGGGAAUGUUGUAAACAUGACUUUGUCCUAGACCUCUAGGACCUUUCAGGCUCCCAAGAGCUUCAGCAGAUGUAUUCGCCGGGUUUUCCUCAUAGGCUAUUUAUGCAGAAAAGAGAGGUUUAUGCCUCUCAGUUUGGGGAGUUCAAAGCUAUGGCACCUCCAUUGGCUAAUAUAGUGUAAAAACUACAAUGAAAGCAUGGGUUGCAGUUAAGGACAAGGGGAGGGCUGGGAAGGAAAAUAAAGCACGUUAUUACAUGCAUGAAUACAAGGAAAAAAACUCAAUAUUCCCUAUCAUGAAUAUGCACUAAUAAAUUUGUUGGCAGAGUUUCAGAUUCCAUGCUGCAAAUAUAAAGAAAUGAACCCUGGAAUCUGUGCGUUGAGCUUCUCAGUAAAGAUGAGGGGCCGUUUGGGCAGUGGUGAGUGGUGAUUUCAGUUGUCUGAACUGGGGAGACAGGGCGGUGCCCCUGAGCCUCAAUGUGCACCUGUUAGGCGUUUGCCAGGACACUGCUGGACCUGUAUGGUGCGAUGUUCUAGAGUGUAGGUAACCACGGCAGCACCCACAGGUGGCACCUGGAUAGUUCUGUUCACAGACACAGAAGGAAGCCUGUCAGUUUUGGGGCUCUCCUGGGGAGCCAGUGUGGACAGGGGCAGUUUAGGUCCAGGUGGGGGCUGUGUUUGCAUGACAGUGUGAAUUUGAAGUAGAAAACUGUACAUUUGAAAAUGGUUGGGAUGGUUGUGCUUAUUUUAUUACAAUGAAAUAUAAUAAACAAUUUACUAUUUUUUUUAAAGAACACCCAGGUCUAGGAAGCAUCACCAAGUUUUAAAACCCCCAGGUGCCCCCUCUCCCUGUUCCUACAGGAGGCUACAACCCCCACUGUGAUACUGAUUACUACCUUGUCUCUAUAUUCCAGUCACAUAUCUGCAUAUCAGUGCUCCUAAACAAAAGGGAAGAGUUAUCAGGGUUACUCAGGCUCCAAGUUCAUCCUGGGUCCUGGUGGCCCUGGCAGGGCACAGGCUCCUGGGUGGGGCACCUUGCCCACACUGCUGCAGUCUUGAACAGCAUGGAAGAUAGACCUGGGAGAGAAGUGUGUACAUCUGUGUGAGGUCACACGGGCUGUGUAUACAGCAAACAGGAAAUUCUGGCAGGUGAGACGAUCACAAGUUCUAGGCCCACCUGGAUGACCCAUGGAAGAAGAGCGAGGUGGGGGAAAGGUGCAUAACUCAUGGUGGCCAGGAAGCUGACUGGGGGCAAGGUGCCAGAGAGGAAGGGGACAGGGACCAGACCUGCCUGUACCUGAGGCCUCUGUAACUCACCCAGAAGUGUGCUCCACCAGUCUCCAGGGUGGGUCCCAAAGCCAAUCAAGCUGACACAGUGGGGUUUAACUGUCACACAGACAUAGAUAUUCUCACCCCACUAACAGAUGAGGAAAUGGACUCUGAGGGAGCCCUUCUCAGAAACACACUCACUGCUCAGUGGACAAGAGACUGACUCCCAGCCUCCUGAUACACAGCCCAGCACUUUCUCCUAUCGCAGGGUGCUUGCCCACAGUUUCUCUUCUCCCUGAAUGGCUCCAACCCCAUUGAUGAGCCCCAGGCAGGAAAAGGCAAAGACAGCACUCUGCUGACUGGCGGCAGCCUGUGCUGGGCCUCCUUCCUGGGAGAGCAUGGGGUAGGGAUCCUGGGGAGAUGUACUUCCCUCCAUAAGCAGGAGAACCUAGAGUGUUUUAUAAUAAAAAAAAUGAACAAAGGUCCCAUUUAAGAAUCUAUUGCCCUUCUCUCUUUCACUCAUCUUUUACUGGCUAUAAGUGUAUAGUGUUAAUUAAUAGGACAAAGGUAUUUAGAGUAGCUUAGAAUGUUAAAGAAAAUAUCAUUAUAGCUUUCAUAAGGAAAUGCACUAAAUGAUACCCCCGAGGGAAAAUUCUGACUGGACUAUAUAUAUAAACCUAAAACUGAGAGAAAGUAUUGUUGUAAUUUCACAUCUCAAAGUGAGCUCAGAUUUAAUGUGAUUGUUUUGUAAUAUGCAUGUUUUGUCUUCCUAUUAAUAUAUGCUUUUAUCAGUUGGUUAAAGUGCCUAGAGUGGUUUCAUUCUUUUUUUUUUUUUUCUUGAACUCAUCUUAAUUUAUUUUUCUUUCUUUCUUUUUUGGUACCAGGGAUCGAACUCAGCAGGCAGCCACUGAGCUAAAACCCCAGCCCUCUUUUUUUAUCUUUGCUGUUAGAGAUUUCUGGAUCUGCUAAGACCUUGCAUAAAAAAAAUAGUUAUACAGAUAUCCAAGGAUUACCAAACUCCCUUAAAAAGAGGACAAAAACUACUAGGCUGAAGACUUAUGUGAAACUUGCAAAUAAGAAUCUUAAAUUUCAGUAACAUAAAGAUUUUGUAAUUUAGGUUAAUAUGUAUGUUUCUGUGCAUUCAUUGUCAGGUAUAUUUUAUCCUUCAAAAGUUUAAGUUGGCUUAUAAACAAAUGAUGUAUAUUAACCCAAAUACUUUGUUCCCAUGACUUAAAGUGAGCUGGUUCAAAUUGGUUGGUAAGAU